GAGGGUAUAGCUCACUGGUAGAGUACGUAAUUAGCAUUCACGAGGUCCUGGGUUUAAUCCCUAGUACCUCCA
This 72-nucleotide transfer RNA is filed under the name Camelus bactrianus (Bactrian camel). It matches the Rfam family "tRNA". From Rfam's summary of the family: Transfer RNA (tRNA) molecules are approximately 80 nucleotides in length. Their secondary structure includes four short double-helical elements and three loops (D, anti-codon, and T loops). The record is from Rfam by way of RNAcentral. RNAcentral also lists the same sequence under 2 other names. Lineage: Eukaryota; Metazoa; Chordata; Mammalia; Artiodactyla; Camelidae.